Molecule: ribosomal RNA, 253 nt
Filed under: uncultured bacterium
Lineage: Bacteria
Description: partial 16S ribosomal RNA
Rfam family: Bacterial small subunit ribosomal RNA
Source: RNAcentral
UACGUAGGGUGCAAGCGUUGUCCGGAAUUAUUGGGCGUAAAGAGCUCGUAGGCGGUCUGUUGCGUCGGCUGUGAAAACCCGGGGCUCAACCCCGGGCCUGCAGCCGAUACGGGCAGACUAGAGUUCGGCAGGGGAGACUGGAAUUCCUGGUGUAGCGGUGAAAUGCGCAGAUAUCAGGAGGAACACCGGUGGCGAAGGCGGGUCUCUGGGCAUUACCUGACGCUGAGGAGCGAAAGUGUGGGGAGCGAACAGG